RNAcentral lists this long non-coding RNA (240 nucleotides) under Homo sapiens (human). RNAcentral describes it as "non-protein coding lnc-SH3D19-7:1". The record is from RNAcentral. Lineage: Eukaryota; Metazoa; Chordata; Mammalia; Primates; Hominidae.
GAGGUAUAAUUUAUAUACAGUAAAUACCCACACAUUUUAAGUGUACUGUUCAGUGAAUUUUGACAUAUACCCAACCAUUUUAAUCCUCAAAUUUCCCUGUGCCUCUUUUCAAUCAAUCCCCUCCUCUGUCACCUCAAGUUGCCAGUGAUUUGAUUUCUAUUACUGUGGAUUAGUUUUACUUACUGCUGAACUUAAUAUAAAUAGAAAUUUAUUUCUUUUAAGUGGAGUGGUUAGCUAUUC